Xiphophorus couchianus (Monterrey platyfish) is the source of this 899-nucleotide long non-coding RNA. RefSeq lists it as uncharacterized. The record is from RefSeq and is a predicted model, not a curated record. The transcript is spliced from 3 exons. Lineage: Eukaryota; Metazoa; Chordata; Actinopteri; Cyprinodontiformes; Poeciliidae.
GACACAAUAAUGAGCCUCAGAAGUUAUGACUUUUUGUCGAGAUAUUCUGCGGUUUUAGUCAAACCUACAGCUUUAGGGAAGGAGAAAUAGCCGUUUUGUGGUUUUGCAACAACCAUUAUCAUGUGCAUUAUCGCUGCAGUCGGAUUCCAUCCUUAUCUGGACACAAGAAACAUUCAAAUAAAUACUGACACAAAAAAAAGUACAACUAGCAAACAAGAGGAAAGAACACCAUAAGAAGUCCCAUUCAGACGAGGCACCAUGCAUCAGCUGAGUACAGCAUCUCCACGGUGACGCAUGGUGGUGGCAGAAUUGGGCUGCGGGAAUGUUUGUCUUUUUCAAUAGGGAAGUGGUUCGGAAUCAGUGGGGAGAUGGAUGGAGCUAAAUAAAAGCCAAAAGUGAGAAAAAGAAAACUGUAUCCAAUGCCUCGGCUUACACAGAGGCCGGGAGGACAGCCUUCAUCAUACAGCCAGAGGUACAAUGCAUAGAUCUAUGCAUGUUUAUGUGUUCCAAUGGCCCAGUUAAAGUCCAGUCAUAUAUCCAAUUGAGAAUCUUUGGAAGAAAGCUACUUGUGGGACCACAAUUUUAGCAAAUUGUGGUUCUACAAAGUACUGCCUCAUGGGUUUCACCUGUUUCAUAUUCAUACUUGGAAAAAAAGAAACAAUAAAAUCCUUUUCAUUUCGUUUUCACAUCAUAAUUCUGCAUUACUUUGUGUUUUUCUGCCGCAAAAAGGGGAAAUAGGAGUGCUGUGUACCAUUCCAGAUAAGGUGCUUGAGUUGUUUAUGACCAGUAUGCUAAAGAUCUUGUACAGGAAGCAAACUUCUUAUCUUUCCUUGUGUAACUAUCUCAUUGUACAUAUCUCCACAUAUGUAAUCAAAUUAAAUGUGCUGACAUUUUCCAAG